RNAcentral lists this long non-coding RNA (262 nucleotides) under Elaeis guineensis (African oil palm). RNAcentral's name for it is "long non-coding RNA (EGUI_LNC043899)". The record is from RNAcentral. Lineage: Eukaryota; Viridiplantae; Streptophyta; Magnoliopsida; Arecales; Arecaceae.
CAGUGAUUGUCUCGAUGCUGUAGUUGUGUGAAUGAUUCUUUGAUCUGAGAUAGUACUAAUGCUUGUAGUGAGGCUGCUGGAGUUUGAUUGAUAUAUAAACAUGGGUCUCAAUGAGCCCUUGUAGUGGAUAUUAGUGACAGUUGGUCCACUAUAGGAGUAGGGUGCAUAUCAAGAUGGGAUCUAUUGACCUUAAUAGAGAGGAGUAGUCCUAUGAGAUUUGAGUGGCUAUGUCUAAGAACCUGUGGCCAUAGUAAUGUGAUUA